GAUCUUUAUAUAAUAAUUUAUUUUUAUAAAAAUAAGUUUAUUUUUUUUUUUUAAAAGUUAAUUUAUAUUUUAUUGGGGUAAUAAUAAAAUUUUAUAAAUUUUUAUUUAUUAAUUACAAUUUUAAUUGAUUUAUUGAUCCAGUAUUAUUGAUUAUAAAGUUAAGUUACCUUAGGGAUAACAGCGUAAUGAUUUUUGAGAGUUCUUAUCGAUAAAAUAGUUUGU
RNAcentral lists this ribosomal RNA (222 nucleotides) under Viannamyia furcata. RNAcentral's name for it is "partial 16S ribosomal RNA". The record is from RNAcentral. Lineage: Eukaryota; Metazoa; Arthropoda; Insecta; Diptera; Psychodidae.